Cydia amplana is the source of this 472-nucleotide long non-coding RNA. RefSeq lists it as uncharacterized. The record is from RefSeq and is a predicted model, not a curated record. NCBI's taxonomy places the organism in Eukaryota, Metazoa, Arthropoda, Insecta, Lepidoptera, Tortricidae. The transcript has 2 exons.
UUUUAUCAUUCUCUUAUUUUAGAAGUUACAGGGGGGGGGGGGGGGCACACAUUUUACCACUUUGGAAGUGUCUCUCGCGCAAACUAUUCAGUUUAGAAAAAAAUGAUAUUAGAAACCUCAAUAUCAUUUUUGAAGACCUAUCCAUAGAUACCCCACACGUAUGGGUUUGAUGAAAAAGUUUUGACUUUCAGCGAUUUAUGACGUAUUAAAAAAAAACUACUUACUAGAUCUCGAUCAAACCAAUUUUCGGUGGAAGUUUACAUGGUAAUGUACAUCGUAUAUUUUUUUUAGUUUUAUCAUUCUCUUAUUUUAGAAGUUACAGGAGGGGGGGGGACACAUUUUACCACUUUGGAAGUGUCUCUCGCGCAAACUAUUCAGUUUAGAAAAAAAUGAUAUUAGAAACCUCAAUAUCAUUUUUGAAGACCUAUCCAUAGAUACCCCACACGUAUGGGUUUGAUGAAAAAAAAUUUUU